GCGGGGCGCGGUGGCGGGCGCCUGUAGUCCCAGCUACUGGGAUGCUGAGGCAGGAGAAUCGCUUGAACCUGGGAGUCGGAGGUUGCAGUGAGCCCAGAUUGCGCCACUGCACUCCAGCCUGGGCAACAGAGUGAGACUCCGUCUCAA
RNAcentral lists this non-coding RNA (147 nucleotides) under Homo sapiens (human). The record is from Rfam by way of RNAcentral. Lineage: Eukaryota; Metazoa; Chordata; Mammalia; Primates; Hominidae.